UACAGAGGGUGCAAGCGUUGUUCGGAAUUACUGGGCGUAAAGGGCGCGUAGGCGGUUGGAUAAGUCAGCUGUGAAAACCACGGGCUUAACUCGUGGCCUGCAGUUGAGACUGUCUGGCUUGAGUGUGGGAGAGGAGAGUGGAAUUCCUGGUGUAGCGGUGAAAUGCGUAGAUAUCGGGAGGAACACCAGUGGCGAAGGCGGCCUUCUGGGCGGCAACUGACGCUGAGGCGCGAAAGCGUGGGGAGCGAACCGG
This 253-nucleotide ribosomal RNA is filed under the name uncultured bacterium. RNAcentral describes it as "partial 16S ribosomal RNA". It matches the Rfam family "Bacterial small subunit ribosomal RNA", at positions 524 to 776 of the family's 1533-position model. The record is from RNAcentral.